UUUGUACUCCCUCCGUCACGAAAUUCUUGUCUUAAAUUUGUCUAAAUACGGAUGUAUCUAGUUACAUUUUAGUGUUAGAUACAUCCGUACCUAAACAAAUGUAAGACAAGAAUUUUGGGACGGAGGGAAUACUAC
This is a non-coding RNA of Triticum aestivum (bread wheat), 135 nucleotides long. NCBI's taxonomy places the organism in Eukaryota, Viridiplantae, Streptophyta, Magnoliopsida, Poales, Poaceae. The record is from Rfam.